AUUUGUUUUUACUUUUUAAGUGUGGUUUUUAUUGAGUGUUUUUGCUGCAUGUUUUGUUUUUUAUUCACUGUGGACUCCGAGAACUAAUAGUUGAUUCCAGUCACCUGCGCGGGGUGGGCGUGCCUGUAGGCAGCAUACCUGGAACCUGCAAGACGCUGGCUGUGGCUUUUAAAAGGCAGAGGACUUCGCGUUGGGGAGAAGAGAAGAAAAAGGGGAAUCCAGGAAGGUUCGUGACGGAGGACUGCGACCCCGAACGAGCCAGUGGUUGGCAGCAGAGGAUACAAUCAGUGGGAACGACGUGUCGGACCGUCAGCGGGCAGAGGGGGAACUCUGCCCUGGUCAGACGCCAGCGGGCGGCGCUUUACGCGGAGCAACUAGAGUGGCUGGAACGACCACAGGAGGCGGUGGCGCUGGGGCUGUGACUAUAGGCUGGACGGAGCGCAGGAUUCGCCGUCCUCACUGGAUUUUGUGGAUGUUGGCCCUCUUGGACGAUUUUAGUUUGUUCUGAUUUGGACAUUUUAAUAUUUUUAUUGUUAUUUUAUGCAAACAAGAAAACGGAGCAUUUUAUUCCGUUGGGGAAUAAAAAAAGAGCUAACUAACU
Poecilia latipinna (sailfin molly) is the source of this 601-nucleotide long non-coding RNA. RefSeq lists it as uncharacterized. Lineage: Eukaryota; Metazoa; Chordata; Actinopteri; Cyprinodontiformes; Poeciliidae. The record is from RefSeq and is a predicted model, not a curated record. The transcript has 2 exons.